AUUGCCCCAGUAACGGCGAGUGAAGCGGCAACAGCUCAAAUUUGAAAUCUGGCCCCCCGGCCCGAGUUGUAAUUUGGAGAGGAUGCUUCUGGCGCGGCGCCGUCCGAGUUCCUUGGAACAGGACGCCACAGAGGGUGAGAGCCCCGUACGGACGGACGCCUAGCCUCUACGAAGCUCCUUCGACGAGUCGAGUAGUUUGGGAAUGCUGCUCAAAAUGGGAGGUAAAUUUCUUCUAAAGCUAAAUACCGGCCAGAGACCGAUAGCGCACAAGUAGAGUGAUCGAAAGAUGAAAAGCACUUUGAAAAGAGGGUUAAAAAGUACGUGAAAUUGUUGAAAGGGAAGCGCCUGUGACCAGACUUGCGCCCCGCGGACCACCCGGCGUUCUCGCCGGUGCACUCUGCGGUGCGCAGGCCAGCAUCGGUUCUCCCAGGGGGACAAAGGCCGCGGGAACGUAGCUCCUUCGGGAGUGUUAUAGCCCGCGGCGGCAUGCCCCUGGGGGGACCGAGGACCGCGCUUCGGCAAGGAUGC
RNAcentral lists this ribosomal RNA (528 nucleotides) under Sporothrix schenckii. Its description in RNAcentral is "eukaryotic LSU rRNA". It matches the Rfam family "Eukaryotic large subunit ribosomal RNA", at positions 74 to 626 of the family's 3401-position model. Lineage: Eukaryota; Fungi; Ascomycota; Sordariomycetes; Ophiostomatales; Ophiostomataceae. The record is from RNAcentral.